This 406-nucleotide ribosomal RNA is filed under the name uncultured bacterium. RNAcentral's name for it is "partial 16S ribosomal RNA". It matches the Rfam family "Bacterial small subunit ribosomal RNA", at positions 28 to 526 of the family's 1533-position model. The record is from RNAcentral.
GAUUAACGCUGGCGGCGUGCAUAACACAUGCAAGUCGCACGAAGUGGCGGACGGGUGAGUAACGCGUGAGUAACCUGCCUUAGAGAAGGGGAUAGCCUUUGGAAACGAAGAAUAAUACCCUAUGCUCUAAGCGUGACUUGCGUCUGAUUGGUUCGUUGGUGUGGUAACGUCCCACAAAGACAGCGAUCAGUAGCCGGCUUGAGAGAGGUUACGGCCACAUUGGGACUGAGACACGGCCCAGACUCUACGGGAGGCAGCAGUGGGGAAUUUUGCACAAUGGGUGAAACCCUGAUGCAGCGACGCCGCGUGAUUUAGAAGGCCUUCGGGUUGUAAAAAUCUUUUCUAUGGGAAGCAGUACCAUAGGAAUAAGGACCGGCUAAUUACGUGCCAGCAGCCGCGGUAAUAC